This 363-nucleotide unclassified non-coding RNA is filed under the name uncultured fungus. RNAcentral's name for it is "partial contains small subunit ribosomal RNA, internal transcribed spacer 1, and 5.8S ribosomal RNA". The stretch from base 1 to 73 matches the Rfam family "Eukaryotic small subunit ribosomal RNA", at positions 1759 to 1831 of the family's 1831-position model. Lineage: Eukaryota; Fungi. The record is from RNAcentral.
ACAAACUUGGUCAUUUAGAGGAAGUAAAAGUCGUAACAAGGUUUCCGUAGGUGAACCUGCGGAAGGAUCAUUAAAAAGAUCGAACCAAAAAAUAUGGACGAUCAAAAUCCAUAUCCACCUUGUGUGCACUCAUUGACCGUUCGCUUUGGCAGGAGUUGUCUUUGGAUCCCGGCCCCCGGGAUCGAAGCGCGAGGGGGGUGGGAGGACCCCUCCCACACCUCGGCCUGCCAGAGUUUUUCAAGAUCCACACUUUUUUUAAACCUUUUGGACUGAACCCUCGUCUCGAUUCUUUGUUAAUCGGUCGAAUCUAAUACAACUUUCAACAACGGAUCUCUUGGCUCUCGCAUCGAUGAAGAACGCAGC